GCCCGGGUGGUGAAAUUGGUAGACGCGCUGGACUCAAAAUCCUGUUCCGAAAGGAGUGCCGGUUCGAUUCCGGCCCCGGGCACCA
Molecule: transfer RNA, 85 nt
Filed under: Giesbergeria sinuosa
Lineage: Bacteria; Pseudomonadati; Pseudomonadota; Betaproteobacteria; Burkholderiales; Comamonadaceae
Also listed under: 4 other names
Description: tRNA-Leu
Rfam family: tRNA
About the family: Transfer RNA (tRNA) molecules are approximately 80 nucleotides in length. Their secondary structure includes four short double-helical elements and three loops (D, anti-codon, and T loops).
Source: RNAcentral